Molecule: long non-coding RNA, 1036 nt
Organism: Triticum aestivum (bread wheat)
Lineage: Eukaryota; Viridiplantae; Streptophyta; Magnoliopsida; Poales; Poaceae
Exons: 2
Source: RefSeq, a predicted model, not a curated record
UGCACGCGUGAGAAAACGACCCAGUCCCGCACCUCCCCGCAGCUCGCUCUCCCCCGAUUCCUCCUGCGACGAGCUCGCCGCCCCGCCCUCGAUCUGCCCCCGCCCCCACGCGCCCUGCCUCAAGAUUCGGCAGCCGCGCCACCACCGACCCCCGGAUCAGGCCGCCGCGCCGCCACCGUUCUUGGAUCCGGCCGCCGCGCCGCCUGCCUCUGCUCCUCACCUGUCCGCCUCCACGCCCGCACGAGGGGAUGCCAAGCCCUCGUGCUCCUCCAUCGGCAGCCACAGGGGGGGCCUCCGGCGCACCUUCCCUUCCUCUCUUCCUCUCCUUCCUUCUCCCUCACACCCUCUCUCUCUGUUCUCCUGCAGGUACCCGCCAUGGCCAUCAUGGACAGCAGCCAUGCGGCAGGAGCUCGCCACCAAAGUCCCCCGAGCACCGUACGCCCCGAAUCUGGCCGGGAACCGGACGAGGCCGAGCCCUCGCGCCCAGAUCCGCUGCAGCAAUCUCGAAGUUCGUCGCCGCCACCUCGGGCGGUUCAACUGACGCGCCCCGCUUCUGGCACCACCCGCCGGGACGACCACCGGCCCUCCCUAAUCCUGCUGCAGAUUUGUGCACAUAAAGUUCAAAAAUAUAACGGAGAGAAGGAGCAUGUAUGCGUGUGUGUGGUGGUGAGGUUGAGGUUCAGAAAACGUGUGUGGUGAUGGUGAGGUUCAGAAGAACAUGUGUGUGGUGGAGAAAUUCACUAGCUUUUUUAAUCGGGAGACAAGUAAUAGCUUAUUUUGUGCAAACACAAGACAUAAAAAUGUAUGCGUCUUUUAGUAAGAGAAAUAAACAAAUGAUCAAGUAUCGUCCCAUGAAAGUUCAUGCAUAUGAGAAAAGGAAAUUCGGAAGGUCGGGGUGACGAACAGAGAAGUUCAGGCAUCAGUGUUGAGGAAGGUAAGGACAAAAGAACUCAACCCACUGCGGUGUCUCACAUCAACUAUACAUGCUCAACGGCCUCUCUGUUCAUCAAGAAAAUUCGAGUUUCCUUAUGCCACA